UCACAUGCGUGCUCAAAUAAAUAUACGCGCGAGUUUUUGAUAAAAUAAAAAGGAAACUUCUCUAGUGGCAACUUGUUGGUCCUCCAAGUUCCAACUUUGUUUACAAAUGACCGGGGAAGGAAAAGGAGAAGCCGGUGAAUACAUGGCGGUUAUUCGAUAUUUAAUCCUCUCGUUUAUCUUCGUUCUGUUUGUCCGAGAAGACGAGAGACCGUAACCGGACUCUAAUUUAAUUCCAGGAUACCUCCGUAUAAUGGCCGUGGAGGGUGUAAGAAGCAGAGGAUGAGGUAGAACAUGCCGAUGUUCAAGAUAGAAUUCUGUAGAGAUGGGUGAUAUAUUUGAGUGACCAACACCAUCUGGAAGAUGAAUUUAAGGUCUUGCAAAGAAGUGAAACAAGCAUGUGAUGUCUGUCAUUCACCUUUUUGGAAGUUAUCUGAAUCGCAAUACCCCGAAGGAGUGAGUGUCCUCAACAGGAGGCAGAGCCAAUCGGUUGCCAGCACUGAAGACGACCCAAAGGGUCGUUUUCUAAGGUGACAGCCGAUUGCCGAGAUGGGAAAGGCCUUGAAGACUUCCCCUGAGCUUUCCUAUAUGAAAUACAGUUUUCUAUGACGCCUGAAGUAUGUUGGACCCUUUCAAAUAUCAAAGAAAACAGUUUGUCCAAAGAUGGUCUGGUAAGGUUCCCACUAAGACAAGCCUAGGCUUACGUUCACCUUCUUGCUUGUGAUGUUUUAUGAAGGCAAAUGGUUGCUUGAACACUGAAUGUCCGGUGAAACAAUGCGUGAAAUCUUUUAGGCUAAUGUCCAGCACAACAGACUGAUUAUUGUUACCAAUUUAUGAAUGUCUAAGAAUUCAGAAUCUGCGCACACGGACAGAUUCUAACAGGACAGUACACUGUGUCUUAUUUUCUUCCUGGCUCCCACCCUACUCCCAA
Long non-coding RNA from Macrobrachium nipponense, 928 nucleotides. RefSeq lists it as uncharacterized. NCBI's taxonomy places the organism in Eukaryota, Metazoa, Arthropoda, Malacostraca, Decapoda, Palaemonidae. The record is from RefSeq and is a predicted model, not a curated record. The transcript has 3 exons.